Molecule: ribosomal RNA, 524 nt
Filed under: uncultured bacterium
Lineage: Bacteria
Description: bacterial LSU rRNA
Rfam family: Bacterial large subunit ribosomal RNA
Source: RNAcentral
UAGGGAGCGUAGAGAAUCGAGUCCGAACAGGGCGUUCAGUCGCUGGGGUGUAAGACCCGAAACCAAGUGAUCUAUCCAUGGCCAGGAUGAAGGUGCCGUAACAGGUACUGGAGGUCCGAACCGACUGGUGUUGCAAAACCAGCGGAUGAGCUGUGGAUAGGGGUGAAAGGCUAAACAAACUUGGAAAUAGCUGGUUCUCUCCGAAAACUAUUUAGGUAGUGCCUCAAGUAUUACCUGCGGGGGUAGAGCACUGUUUUGGCUAGGGGGUCAUGGCGACUUACCAAACCAAGGCAAACUCCGAAUACUGCAGAGUACAGCUUGGGAGACAGAGCACCGGGUGCUAACGUCCGGACUCAAGAGGGAAACAACCCAGACCGCCAGCUAAGGUCCCUAAAAUUGGCUAAGUGGGAAACGAAGUGGGAAGGCUAAAACAGUCAGGAUGUUGGCUUAGAAGCAGCCAUCAUUUAAAGAAAGCGUAAUAGCUCACUGAUCGAGUCGUCCUGCGCGGAAGAUGUAACGGGGCU